CACACGCAAGAGUCAAGUACGUCGCAUGUUUUACGCAUACCUCAAAGGCAAAAUGGCACCCGCGUCUUAUGGUGAGUGUUCGUCGCUUGCUGUCCCGCCUUUAUGCUCUCCCGAGUGACUGGCAGCCAACUCCAGCAACAAACGGCUGUCCAAGCGCGCAAACAAGUGCACGAAACACCUGUACACGUGGAAGCCAGACGAACGCAUCCGGAAAUCACAACCGUCGGCGUGUACAAACGAGCGAGCGAGCUGACUCAUGCGUAACCGACUCGAUACCAACGCUAGCAUUAGUUGCGCAUCCUAACCGACGCCGAUGUCAUACGGCCGCUUCCGGGUUCAGACGCAGGCUCAUAUUCCAAAACGCUUCGUGUGUGGCCCUGGUUGGAGUGCAGUAAGCGUAGAAUCUCUGAAUAAGGCGGCCAGCUACGGAGCCCACUGUUUAGGUUAAAAUAGACAGAUGUUCAAGCAGAUCGCUACGAUUAAUUAAGAUAUUUUUACCUGACCAUAUAGACAAUAAGGGUUUUCAGGCUGUCUCAACUACCGUGAAAAUUGCCGCCAGGCAUACACGCACGGUCUCAAGUGUGUUCCAAAUCAUUUAAAGCUUUUCUGCCCCGACUCCUGGCCGUGGUCGAGCAGUCCACGCCUGGUUAAGGACGGCUGCACGCCGUGUGUCGGCAGGUAAAUUACAGCUAAAAGGUAGCCAUCAGGUUUCAAUCUCAAGCCAACUGCGUACCUUGGAGCUGCUGUCUUGGCUUCCUUCGUCCCUGUGGUGGCGCCGACGGAUGCCACGUGCCUCCAGCCGAUGACGGGCCGGCUUUUCCUUCGCCGAGUGUCGCCAUGCUUGUGUCGCAGUCAGCCUGAGACGGAACGCCAGAAGCAGCGACAGUGUAUAGCUAAAGAACGAGCCGACGUCACGAACGAGAAGUGCAGAGAAUGCGACUCGUAGCACCGCCGGUGGAACCCUGCAGCCCGAGCAAGAAAGAUUCUUCCAGUAGGGUUGGAUGACUUCCCCGUGGGCCUCCGCUGACCGACGAGUGAGAACUUGGCCCACAUUCUGCUGAAUUGGCCAGCUGACGGCACCGAAAG
RNAcentral lists this unclassified non-coding RNA (1086 nucleotides) under Dermacentor andersoni. RNAcentral's name for it is "amine sulfotransferase-like". The record is from RNAcentral. Lineage: Eukaryota; Metazoa; Arthropoda; Arachnida; Ixodida; Ixodidae.